AUUCCAGCUCCAGUAGCGUAUAUUAAAGUUGUUGCAGUUAAAAAGCUCGUAGUUGGAUUUCUGAUAGUAGCGUUGGGCCCGCCCGGGUUACCGGUGUGAGUGCCUGUUCGCUCCUUUCAUCCUUCUAGAGAACGGUUCUCUCCUUCAUUGGCAGUGGGAUCGCAAUCUAGAUCUUUUACUUUGAAAAAAUUAGAGUGUUUAAAGCAGGCUUGUGCUAUGAAUACAUUAGCAUGGAAUAAUAAUUUAGGACUUUAGUUCUAUUUUGUUGGUUUCUAGAACUGAAGUAAUGAUUGAUAGGGAUAGUUGGAGGUGCUAGUAUUCAGCGGCCAGAGGUGAAAUUCUUGGAUUCGCUGAAGACUUACUUAUGCGAAAGCAUUCACCGAGGAUGUCUUCAUCG
This 397-nucleotide ribosomal RNA is filed under the name Reckertia sp. RNAcentral describes it as "partial small subunit ribosomal RNA". It matches the Rfam family "Eukaryotic small subunit ribosomal RNA", at positions 582 to 975 of the family's 1831-position model. The record is from RNAcentral. Lineage: Eukaryota; Cercozoa; Imbricatea; Thaumatomonadida; Thaumatomastigidae.